GUCUAGUUUCCGAGACACAGGGGGUCGAAGUUGGAAAAUGGUCUGGUCCUUUCAACAUUUUAGCUCUUUUCAUUUGGCAGUUAUCCUGUAUAUGACCAGACGGAUGACAUUCUUGAAUUUGAGCACGCAUUCAUUAUGAGUCAUCAUUCGAACUAUAUCGUUUGAAACCAUUCCUGGCUCAAAAUUUGAAUAAAACAAACAUUGCGAUGAAAUAAUACAGCGAUCGGAAUUUGGACAAAAGCUAAGAAGUUACGAGAAGAAACAUUUGUGCCCUUAUAUUUUGAGUGAUUCAUGCAUAUUUUUCUUCAGAUGUGAGCCAGUCAUUAAAAAAACUGAAA
This is a long non-coding RNA of Harmonia axyridis, 338 nucleotides long. RefSeq lists it as uncharacterized. The transcript has 2 exons. The record is from RefSeq and is a predicted model, not a curated record. NCBI's taxonomy places the organism in Eukaryota, Metazoa, Arthropoda, Insecta, Coleoptera, Coccinellidae.